GACGAACGCUGGCGGCGUGCUUAACACAUGCAAGUCGAACGGGCCUGUCUUCUUUUUUGGGGGUGGGUUGAGUGGCGAACGGGUGAGUAUCACGUGAGUAACCUGCCCUUCGGUCCUGGAUAACCGCUUGAAAGGGCGGCUAAUACGGGGUGGUCCGGUUGGUCCGCAUGGGCUGGUCGGGAUAGAUUCACUGUUUUUGGUGUUUCGGCGGGGGAUGGGCUCGCGGCCUAUCAGCUUGUUGGUGGGGUGAUGGCCUACCAAGGCGGUGACGGGUAGCCGGCCUGAGAGGGUGGGCGGUCACACUGGGACUGAGAUACGGCCCAGACUCCUGCGGGAGGCAGCAGUGGGGGGUAUUGCACAAUGGGCGGAAGCCUGAUGCAGCGACGUCGCGUGAGGGAUGGAGGCCUUCGGGUUGUGAACCUCUGUUUCCGGUGGUGAAGGCCCUGUCCGUGUGGUGGGGUUGACGGUAGCCGGGGAUGAAGCGCCGGCUAACUACGUG
This 499-nucleotide ribosomal RNA is filed under the name uncultured bacterium. RNAcentral's name for it is "partial 16S ribosomal RNA". It matches the Rfam family "Bacterial small subunit ribosomal RNA", at positions 28 to 507 of the family's 1533-position model. The record is from RNAcentral.